RNAcentral lists this ribosomal RNA (377 nucleotides) under uncultured eukaryote. RNAcentral's name for it is "partial 18S ribosomal RNA". It matches the Rfam family "Eukaryotic small subunit ribosomal RNA", at positions 592 to 976 of the family's 1831-position model. The record is from RNAcentral.
CAAUAGCGUAUAUUUAAGUUGCUGCAGUUAAAAAGCUCGUAGUUGGAUUUCGGGUGGGAAUGGCCGGUCCGCCGUUUCGGUGUGCACUUGCUACGCCCACCUUGCUGCCGGGGACGUGCUCUUGAGUUCACGCUCGGGACACGGAGUCGGCGAGGUUACUUUGAGUAAAUUAGAGUGUUCAAAGCAGGCCUACGCUCUGAAUACAUUAGCAUGGAAUAACUCGAUAGGACUCUGGCCUAUCUUGUUGGUCUGUAGGACCGGAGUAAUGAUUAAGAGGGACAGUCGGGGGCAUUCGUAUUUCAUUGUCAGAGGUGAAAUUCUUGGAUUUAUGAAAGACGAACUACUGCGAAAGCAUUUGCCAAGGAUGUUUUCAUUAA